This 23-nucleotide non-coding RNA is filed under the name Arabidopsis thaliana (thale cress). The record is from RNAcentral. Lineage: Eukaryota; Viridiplantae; Streptophyta; Magnoliopsida; Brassicales; Brassicaceae.
UAAGUUGAGUUGAGUUGAGUUGA